Molecule: long non-coding RNA, 28874 nt
Organism: Sarcophilus harrisii (Tasmanian devil)
Lineage: Eukaryota; Metazoa; Chordata; Mammalia; Dasyuromorphia; Dasyuridae
Source: Ensembl
ACUCUGCUGAUAGCUUUCAUAAUGCACCCGACUCCCACUUAGUACAACAAUGAACCCACCGAUCGCUCACUCAAGUGUUCUUUCCUUGCAUCCAAACAUCACAUAUACAUAGGCCUACUCAUCUGUCUCUUACUGAGUGAUUCAUUCUGAACGCUGCACAGCUAAAUCACAACAUCUCUACUUUCAUACUCUCCCGGCUAUCUCAGUUUUCCAAGCUUUUCAUGCUUCACCUUUCAAACCUGCCUCAGUGUACAAGAAUUGAUAGCUAGAAAUCGAACUCGAAACCCAUCCAUCUUUCUCACAUUUUCACACUCACCCCAUCCAUCCUUCUGUCACUCUGUUGUUCCCUCCUCUGUUAGUUCCUUCCAUUUUUGUUUGGGACAUUCAUUAUUCCCUGCCUCUUCAAAUCUGUGCCAUCUUUGGUUUCCUAAGCUAUGUGACAACUAAUAGUCUGCUCUGCCUCAGUUUCUUCAUUUUGAAGUGAGAAUAAUAGGAGCACUUACCUCACACUUAAUAAGAUAAUAUUAGUAAAGUGCUUAUCACAGUGCCUGACACAUAGUAGGUUCUUAAUAAAUGCUUAUUUCCUUUUCCUCCUCUUCCCUUUUUUUCCUCUUUCCUUUCCUUUCCUUCCAUUCCUUUUUGGCCCUCUUAUAUUCUAUGUACAUUUGUAGAGUUGACUCUGCCAUCGUAGAAGAAGAUAAACCGGGUUCCUCCAUAUGAUGUCAGUGUUUGUUGUGGGAAGUUCUGUAUCUGAUUGACAAACAUAUCGAAUUAUGUUCCCACUCACUAAUUAUGAAAUACAAAUGAAAACACCGCUUCAAUUUCACAGAUUGGUAAACACGAAAACAAGAGACAAAUGUUAAAUACCUGUCCAAAUGAGUGUGAAAAUCUUGUCAGUGAGGAGAGCUGUGAGGAGCUCUUGGGAUUUGGGGAAACAUUUUGCUAUCAGCAUAUAAGCCAUUAAACCUACAUUUAUACUUGCUAUGUCAACAUUACUCAUAUAAACACACGAUCUAUAGAUCUAUUUUCCAGUUGGACACUCACAUGCAUGUAUGUUCACAUAUCCUACAUAUAUGAAAGAGAAACAAAAAGAAAGUACCCAUCCUUGUGGUAGCAAAGCAGGGGAAGGAAAGCCACAUGGUCUUGAGAAUGGCAGGACAGAUUGUGGUGGGCAGAUGUCAUGGAUUCUCAUUGUUCUGUGAACCAAAACAGAGACAAAUAUUAAGUAUUCAGAAAAAAUUAAGAAGCUUUGGAUAUGGUAGUGCAAAACAAAGUAAGUGGAAAGUAGGAGAGAACUUUACACGAAGGCCACUAGAAUAUUCAAUAAAAUAACACAGGAAAGUUCCGAGUUCUACUCACUGUAGGAACUUGCUCAUGACAGGUCACGUGUGGCUUCUUCCUUCUUCAGAGAGGUAGGGCACAAAUAAGGCCUACAUUGGUAGUCAAGGGCAAUAUAGCGCUUUGUUUUUCUGAAUUGCAAUGGAAUGCCAUUGAAACAUAGGACAACGUCAAUAGGAGGAUUUCAGAGAAUCUUGGGAAAACUCUCCCUUGAUCCUACCAUCCACACUAGAUAUCCCUCCAUUUAUAUAUACUCCUCUACUCUGCUGUGUCCCCCAUCUGUAUCCUUUCAUCUGUCUCUGUGUCCCGGUGUUCAUGUUUGUCUGUGACCCUGUCUUUUCCCACUUGCUCGUGUGUCUGCGUCCAUGUGUCUACAUGCUUCCUUGGUCACCAUCAUUUUCAUCUCUCUGUCUCUUCCUCUUUGGUACAGAUCUCCUUGAUAAAGCCAUCUACAGCUGCUGCCUCCACUUUAUUCACUGUUCCAAACUCUGUCCUCUAGCUUCCAACCUCAUCCUUCCACUAUUUCCUCUAAUGAUCCCCUACUUGCUAAACCCAAUGGCCUUUUCUCAGUCCUCAUCCUUCUUGACCUGUACGUUGCAUUCAGUGCGUUUAAAGAGGCCCCUUUUCCUGGAUAGUCUAAAUGUUUCUGGUUUUUGUAAACUUUGUUCUUUCUUGGUUCUUCUCCUGUCUGUCUCAUCAUUCAUUCUCCAUCUCCUUUGCUGGAUCAUCAUCUAAAUCAUACUUACUAAAUCUGUGCCCCCAAAGCCUUUGCCUUGAGCCAUCUUCUCUUUUCUCUUUCUAAUUGUCAUUUGAUGACUGUGUCAGUUCCCAUGAGUUUAUUGAUCAUAUCUAUAUAAAUGAUUUGGAGAUACCUAUAUUCAGCCCUCGUUUCUCUCCUGAGAUCUAGGAUUACAAAUUACCUAUUUUACAACUGGAUGCCUUCUAGGUAUAUCAGAUUCAACACGUGCAAAACAGAACACAUUUUCUUGCUCUAUCCAUAUGCUCUGUGUCCCUAAUCUGUGUGUCCAGCUUUUCUGGCCACAUGUAUCUCCUGGUUUGUCUAGUUACUAAUUUUUCUAUAUCUUUCACAGGUCUGUGUGUCUCCCAUCUUCAUGUAUCAUCUGUGUAUGUCCCUCUGGCUAGCCACGAGGCUCUCUGAAUAUCCACAGAUUGUCCCAUCUCUUUCCCAAAAUUUGUGCAUCUACCCAGCUUAUUCUUUUAUUUGUCCCUCUCUAUACAUUUACUUUUGUCUGUAAGUGCCCAUUUGUCUGUUCUUCCCUUUGCUUUUGUAUCCUCUUUGUCCAUGUGAAUUCAUAUAUUACCAUAUUCACGCUGUGUAUCUUCAGCUAUAUCCCCCACCUCCUGCCUCUGUUCCCCCAGAUAUUGAAGAGGCCCUCAAGCGAUCCACAUGUUCCCCAGCUGUUUAUAUCCCACCUUAUAUCUGGGCAUAUUUCCCCCAUUUGUCCUUCCAUUUGAAUUGUCUUAGGAAGAUUCUAAAAAUACUUGGCAAGAUAAGGUACCAGAUGCCGAGGUCCUCUCUCGACUUGCUUUGAGCACCAAAGACAAAAGCAAAUCCCCAUCUGUAUUCCCCUUCGGGUGUGCAUCCCUCCAUUUAUAUAUACUCCUCUACUCUACUGUGUCCCCCCCUAUCUUUAUCCUUUCAUCUGUCUCUGUGUCCCAGUGUUCAUUUUUAUCUGUAACCGUGUCUUUUCCCACAUGCUCGUGUGUCUGCAUCCAUGUGUCUACAUGCUUCCUUGGUCACCAUUCCCAUAUGUUCCCUUGUGCUGCUAUGUCCUGUCCCCCUCGCUCAUUUUCCCCAUUUGUGUUUCUCCCAGUUGUCGCUGCCCCAUGUCUAAGCAGCCCUAUUUGAUUCACCAUAUAGAUGUUUCUUUUAGAGCUCUCAUUUAUUUGACAUGUCUUCCAUCUGUCUCUUGGUAUCCCACUACCAGUGUGUGUUUCUCAUCUGUCAUUUCCCUCCAUUUCUCUUUUGUUCUAUCUCUAUUGCCCCUUUGUGUGUCUAUCUGACUCUCCUUCUGCCCAUAGGUCCUCAUCAGUGUGUCUCUGUAUUUACCCUCCCUGCUUCUACGUACGCUCUGUCAGCGUGUAUACCCUCUAUGUUUCUGUGUCUACCCAUGCCUCCUCACCUGGGAUAUUCCUUGUCUUUGGGUCUUCUUUGUUCCCGUCCAUUGUAUACGUCCUCAUCUGAGUCCCACUUCCUUCGUGUAUCCCUGUCUUGUUAUCCGAUGUCUGUUUGUCCUGCUUCUGUUUUUUAAAUAAUAGCUCUAUUUAUCAAAAUAUAUUCAGAGAGUUUUCAACAUGCACCAAAAAACCUUGGGUUCCAAAUUUGUCCCCCUCCCUUCCUCUCCACCUCUCCCUUCCCCUAGAUAGCAAGCAAUCUAAUAUAGAUAAAUCAUGUGUAAUGCUUGUAAACGUCUUUUCAUAAUUAUCAUGCUGCACAAGAAAAAUCACAUCAAAUGGGGAAAAAUGAGAAAGAAAAAAAAACCAAGCAAGCAAAUAACAGUAGCAAAAAAGGAGAAAAUACUUUGAUGUGCUCCCCAUUCAGUCGCAUAGUUCUCUCUGGAUGCAGCCGGCUCUCUCCAUCAUAUGUCCAUAGGAAUUGGCCUGAAUCGUCUCAUUGUUGAGGAGUCAUGUCAUGCUUCUGUUUGUACAUGUCUCUAUGCCCCAUUCUACAUAUCACAUAUGUCUGUUCCCAAUCUGUUUGUUGCCAAAUCCUCCCAUUUAAGCACCUGGUCUACGACUGUCAACCCUUCUUCCUGUCUGUAUGUCCUCCUCUGUAAGGACAUUUCUGUGUUCCCUCCACUCCCCUCUGGUCCAUAGGGAUCACUUUUGUCAGUCUGGGUCUCUGUCUACCAUUUGUCCACAUCACCCUCCUUGGGAGUUCCCUCUGCCCACCUGUGCAUGUCCUGUCUGUUUUGUCCCAUUCUGCCCUCCUCUCUGUCCCUAUGUUUGUGUGCCCCAACUAUACCUUCCCUUAUGUGGAUCUCAUCUGGGUCUCCGUGGCAGUCUGUGUUUCAUCUGUCUCUCCAUUGGUGUGCCCACUCCCUUCUCUAUCUGUCAUGUCUGUGUGGCCCUUGUCUGGUCAUGUGCCCCUUCUUGUGUACGUGAAUGGGCAUGACCCCAUCUGGGUGCAUCUCCUUGUCAGGGCUCUCUGCCUGCAUCUGCUCCUGUUCCUGUAUGUCUCUCCCCCAUUCAUUUCUAUGACCUCCUGUCUUUCUGGGCAUCCUGGCAUCCCCAUGUCUGACUGUGCUGCACCCUACAUUUCAUGCCAAUGUAUGUCUGUUUCUUGGGGUCCUUCUGCCAAGAAACUGUGCUUUUCUUAAAGAAGGCACUUACUAGUAUAUCAGCCUGGGUGACUUCCACACUCCACCCGCGGCCCAUGUGGAGACUGCAGGUCACAAAAGAUCCCAGAUCAUUUUUAUCCCUCUCCCUCCAACUUUUCUCGUGGCUCUCUUCAGUUGGUUGUCUAUCUAUUACUUUGAGUCCUAUCUUUCUUCACAGCCACCCCUGUCCUAACAUUUUCCUGCCUCCCAUCAUCUGUCUCUAAUGUCUGCUUAUCUCUGUGUCCCAUGUACCUCCCUUUCUAUGGACCUAUCCGAGUGGCUCCCUGUCUCCAGGAGCCCUUCUCCCAGCAUGAACAAAGCGGUUUGCAAACCUUAAAUAUUUAUAUAAGUUUGAGAUAUUAUUAUUAUUAUUAUUAUUAUUAUUAUUAUUAUUAUUAUUAUUACUAUGAUUAGCACUCCUUGGAUAUUUCACUCAACACUUCUAAGUUGUUAUCAGCCCAUUCAUGACCGCCACUUUGCCCUGGUCAUCCAAGCACUUGUGAAAGCACCUAAUGAUACCGUCACCUAGUAGCCAUCACUCCCUUUUUCCCCAGAGCAACACAACAUACUCAGGCAAAUAAAAAUACAUGGCGAAAAUCUAGGUAAAUUAUAAAUUACAUCCCCAGAUGAUACAAUCCAGUAACCCUUUUCUCUCUUACCUGAUUCACUUUAUGGGCUCCGGUAUUUUGAACGUUGAAGAUUUGUGACCCCAGAGACCUUAGCAUACCAGGCCCUUCUGUCUGCUAUCUUACAAAGUCUGUCCAAGUUCACGUUUGCUCCUUCCAUGACACUCUCUCAUCUUUGUCACCUCCUGCCAUCCUCUUCUCCUUUUGCCUUCAAUCUUUUCAAACAUCAGAGAAGGACACUAUAGAAAGAAACAGAGAUGUUUCAGAGACAUGACAGGGUAGAGGUGAGAUUGAUUGCUUUCUCUUGUUUUUUGGGAACUCUUUGGUACCAUGAGUGUCAGAGCUAGGAUCAGAGGCCCUGACUUUGAAGGCAUCUUCCAGAGACAGAUGCUUUAGAGUCUGAACCGCCUGCUUAGUGACCAGCUGAUAUUCUCAAGUUCCAUCGAAACUCUAGCCUUGUAUUUCAGACCUCCAGGAGCAGAUUCUAAAUGGAACACAAUGAGAGAGCACCUCCACAUUUAAGAGUUUGGAGGAACUUUGUUCCCUUGGACUACAGGUGUCCUUAAAAUCUGUCUCCACUUUAAAAACCAGUGAAAAGGAAAGCCCUAGCUGAGGGGAGGAAUCCCAUUGAAUUCUAGUAUUACACAGUCAACCAUAACCAAGAGCUACUUCAGCUGCCAGGAGUAACCUUUCACUCCUAGUCUCCUAACAGCUGUUCUCAUUUGAGCUCCCCUCUGAGCUUAGUAGUUUCUAGUUCUGUGUAUCAAAGCUGUUACUAACAAGUAAUGGCAGCAGUUAGGGAGAAAGGCUAACUAUACUAGGAGGCCCGUAAAACUUUCCACCUUUAGGAGGGAGGAAUCGUGUUACUCUCACAUGUGAAAAUGACAACUGGUGUCCGUAUGAAUUGAAUCAAAAGCAGUUCAAAGUGAACUCCAAAGGCGAAGUUGAGAUCCAUAGAAAAAAACUUUGGUACAGCAGGUUCAAACCAUCAAUUACUUGGACAGCAGCUUCUUUCCAUGUUUACCAGAUGAAUAUCACUAAUAAUAAGAAAAUGACAAAUGAAAACAGUUGUAAAGAUUGAGCUCACAUCCAUCAGAUAAACAAAGAGAACAAAAUGUAGAAACAAUAAAUUACUAGACAGGCACAAUAAUACACUAAUCUUACUGAGAAGACAUCUAAUUUAUCCCUAUUACAAACAAUACUUCUUCUUGGUUUUAAAAAGAGACUAUAAUUUUUUAAAAACCUCUAUUUAUUCCUGUGCUUUCUGGGUUUUUUUUUUCUAGAAAUAGGUGUAUUUUCUCAAGUUUUUUUUGUAUCUAUUGAGAUAAUCACAUGAUUUUUGUUACUUUUGUUAUUAAUAUGAUCAUUUAUGCUAAAAGUUUUCCCAAUAUUGAAUAAGCCUUACAUUCUUGAUAUAAAUCCAACCUGAUAAUAUAUGAAGUUUCUGAAAUAUUGCUAUAAUCUCCUCACUAGUAUUUUAUUUAAAAUUUUUGAAUCAAUACUCAAUAGGAAGGUAUGAGCAACAUAUUUCUGUAGUAAAAUGAAAUUUGGUAGGAUAACUUCUUUGCCUAUUUUUCCAAAGAGUUUAAAUAGUAUUAGAAUUAAUUCUUUUUUAAAAUGAUUGUUAGAAUACACAUAUGAAUCAAAUUGUUCCUAAGGACUUUUUAUGUGCCCAUUGAUGGCAUGUUAAAAUUUCUUUGUCUAACAUAGAGUUAUUUAAGAAUUCCAUUUCCCAUUCUGUUAAUUUGGGCAAUUUUAUAUUUAUUGGGUCAAUUUUUAACUUCUAAUUUUAUCAAUCCUUUGUUUUUUUAAGAUUUCUAUAAUAACAUUUAAUAAAAAGUUUUUUUUUAAUAAUCUUUUUCUGUUUUCUUUUUAACUAUAAGCCCAAUUCAUUGUUCUGCUUUUUUCUUUUUUAUUAUUAUAAGCAUUUAGAGAUAUAAUUAUUUUCCUAAGGAAAAUAAAUAUUUUCCUAUUUUUCCAACUUUGGCUACAUUCCAGAAAUUUUGGUACAUUGUCUCAUUGUUAUUACUAUUCUUUAAUGAAUUUAUUGGUUCUAUGGUCCACCCAAUUUUUAGGACUUUUGUGUUUCCAAUUGAUGUUUAACCUAGGCUUCCAAAGGUCUUUAUUGAACAAAAUGUUUACUAUUUUAUGGUACCAAAAGAGUACAUAUGCCAUUUCUGAUUUUCUGUAGUUUAGUGAGGUUUUUAUGCCUUCUAUGGUAAGUUUCUUGAGGAUAACUAUAUGUAGCUUCUAUAUUCCCAAUCAGUUUUCUCCAGAGGUCUAUGAAAUCUAACUUUUCUAAUAUUCUAUUCAUCUCCUUAACUUGUUUCUUAUUUAUUUUAUUGCUAGAUGUAAUUAGUUCUAAGUGGUAAACUGAGGUUCCCCACUAGUAAACUUAUAAUAUUUCCUCCUCUAACUCAAUAUCCCUUGAGGAUCUAGAAUCUAUUCAAUUUGAUACUUACGUUUUAGUAUUGGUAUUACAUCAUUAUCUAUGAUACCUGUUAAUGAAAUGGAGUUUCCCUGGCUAUCUCAUUUAGUUGGGGAUAUUUUUGUUUUUGCUUCAUUUGAGAUCCUAAUUCUAAUGCCUACCCUACUAAGCUCAUCAGAAGCAAAAUAGAUUCUGCUUUAGCACCUUAUUUUAACUCUUAUGUGUUUUUCUGUUCCAUGUAUGUUUCCUGUAAACAACAUAUUUGUUGGAUUCUCUUAUCUUAAUUUAUUAUGUUUUCUGCUUCCAUUUUAUGGCUGAGUUCAUCCCAUUCCCAGUUAUGAUCAAUAACUAUUACCCUACAUCCUAUUUUUUAUCAUACUCUUUUUAAAAUUCUAUCCCUCUUCUAAACUCUAUUCUGCUUCUUAGAACUACCUCCUUUAAUGCCAUCAAAGCAAAGCUGCAGGAGGAACUUUUGCUUCCUUAUAGUGGCAAGUGCAUGUCUUCUCCCUGGAGCUACAACAGGGACUUCUGGUUACUUGUGAUGGCAAGUGCUCCUCUUCACCCUGUCGCUAUAGCAGGGAAUUCUGGUUAGGUGUGAUGGGACUGCUCUUAUUUACCCCUGGAACAGCAGCAGGGACUUCUCGUAACUUUUGAUGGCAACUGCACCUCUUCACCCUCGAGUGGCAUCAGAAAAUUCUGGUUACUUGUGAUGGCAAGUUUUCCUCUUCACCCUGGAGCAAUAGCCGGGACGUCGAGUAAAGUGUGAUGGCAAGUGUUCCUCUUCACCCUGUCACUAUAGCAGGGAAUUCUGGUUACGUGUGAUGGGACUGCUCUUAUUUACCCCUGGAACAGCAGCAGGGACUUCUCGUAAUUUUUGAUGGCACCUCUUCACCCUCGAGUGGCAUCAGGAAAUUCUGGUUACUUGUGAUGGCAAGUUUUCCUCUUCACCCUGGAGCAAUGGCCGGGACUUCGAGUAAAGUGUGAUGGCAAGUGUUCCUCUUCACCCUGGACCUGCAGCAGGAACUUCAAGUAAUUUGUGAUGGCAACUGUUGUUCUUCACCCUGGAGCUGCAGGAGGGACUUCUGCUUACUUGUGAUGGCAAGUGUUCGUCUUCACCCUGGAGCUGCUACAGGGACUUCUGGUUACUUGUGGUGAAAUGUGUACCUCUUCAGCCAGGAGCUGCAGCAGGGACUUCUGGUAACUUGGGAUCACAAGUGUUCCUCUUCACCCUGGAGCUACAGCAGGGACUUCUGGUUACUUGUGAUGACAAGUGUUCGUCUUCACCCUGGAGCUGCAGCAGGAACUGCUGGUAUCUUGUGAUGGCAAGUAUUCCUCUUCACACUGGAGCGUCAGCAGGGACUUCUGGCACCUUGUAAUGGCAACUAUUGUUCUUCACCCUGGAGCAGCAGCAGGGACUUCUGGUAACUUGUGAUGGCAAGUGUUCCUCUUCACCUUGGAGCAGCAGCAGGGACUUCUGGCAACUUGUAAUGGCAACUAUUGUUCUUCACCCUGGAGCAGCAACAGGGACUUCUGGUAACUUCUGAUGGCAAGUGUUCCUCUUCACCUAGGAGCAGCAGCAGGGACUUCUGGGUCCUUGUGGUCACAAGUGUUCCUCUUCACCCUGGAGCAGCAGCAGGGACUUCUGGCAAAUUGUGAGGGCAACUGUUGUUCUUCACCCUGGAGUAGCAGCAGGGACUUCUGGUAACUUGUGAUGGCAACUGUUCCUCUUCACCCUGGAGCUGCAGCAGGAACUUCUGGUAUCUUGUGAUGGCAAGUAUUCCUCUUCACACUGGAGCGUCAGCAGGGACUUCUGGCACCUUGUAAUGGCAACUAUUGUUCUUCACCCUGGAGCAGCAGCAGGGACUUCUGGUAACUUGUGAUGGCAAGUGUUCCUCUUCACCUUGGAGCAGCAGCAGGGACUUCUGGCAACUUGUAAUGGCAACUAUUGUUCUUCACCCUGGAGCAGCAGCAGGGACUUCUGGUAACUUGUGAUGGCAAGUGUUGCUCUUCACCUAGGAGCAGCAGCAGGGACUUCUGGGUCCUUGUGGUCACAAGUGUUCCUCUUCACCCUGGAGCGGCAGCAGGGACUUCUGGCAAAUUGUGAGGGCAACUGUUGUUCUUCACCCUGGAGUAGCAGCAGGGACUUCUGGUAACUUGUGAUGGCAACUGUUCCUCUUCACCCUGGAGAUGCAGCAGGGACUCCUGGUAACUUGUGAUGGCAAGUGUUCCUCUUCACCCUGGAGCAGCAGCAGGGACUUCUGGUAACUUGUGAUGGCAAGUAUUCCUCUUCACCCUGGAGCGUCAGCAGGGACUUCUGGUUACUUGUCAUCACAAGUGUUCCUCUUCACCCUGGAGCAGCAGCAGGGACUUCUGGCAACUUGUGAUGGCAACUGUUGUUCUUCACCCUAGAGCAGCAGGAGGGACUUGUGGUUACUUUUGGAGGCAAGUGCUUUUCUUCACACUGGACCUGCAGCUGUGAUGUCCACUUAUUGGUGAUAGGAAGUGUUCUUCUUCAAACGGGAGCUGCAGCUUGGACCUCUGCUUGGUUGUGAUGGCAAAGGCCUCUCUCCACCCCUAAGCUGCAGUUGGGACGUCUGCGUAGUUGUGAUGGCAAAGGCCUCAUUCUAUCCUGGAGCGGUAUAUGACACCUCUGCUAGGUUAUAAUAGCAAAGACCUCUGUCCAACCCAGAGCUGCAACUGAGACCUCUGAUUUGUUAUGAUAUCAAAGGCCUCUCUCCACCCCUAAGCUGCAGCUGUGUCUUCUGCAUUUUUCUUAGGGAAAUUGGUCUUCUUCACCCACUAGCUUCAGGAAAGAUUUCUGGUAACACCGAAAUUGGUCUUCUUCACCCAUUAUGUUCAGGAAAGAUUUCUGGUAACAUUUCAUGGCACGUGGUCCUCUUCACCUUGGUGCAGAAGCAGGGACUUUAGGCAACUUGUAAUGUAAACUGUUGUUCUUCACCCUGGAGCUACAGCAGGGACUUCUGGUAACUAUUGAUGGCAAGUGUUGCUCUUCACCCUGGAACUGCAGCAGGGACUUCUGGUAACUUGUGAUGGCAAGUGUUCCUCUUCACCCUGGAGCGUCAGCAGGGACUUCUGGUUACUUGUCAUCACAAGUGUUCCUCUUCACCCUGGAGCAGCAGCAGUGACUUCUGGCAACUUGUAAUGGCAACUGUUGUUCUUCACCCUAGAGCAGCAGGAGGGACUUCUGGUUACUUUUGGAGGCAAGUGCUUUUCUUCGCACUGGACCCGCAGCUGUGAUGUCCAGUUAUUGUGAUAGUAAGUGUUCUUCUUCAAACGGGAGCUGCAGCUUGGACCUCUGCUUGGUUGUGAUGGCAAAGGCCUCUCUCGACCCCUAAGCUGCAGUUGGGACGUCUGCGUAGUUGUGAUGGCAAAGGCCUCAUUCUUUCCUGGAGCGGUAAAUGAGACCUAUGCUAGGUUGUGAUAGCAAAGACCUCUGUCCAACCCAGAGCUGCAACUGAGACCUCUGAUUUGUUGUGAUAUCAAAGGCCUCUCUCCACCACUAAUCUGCAGCUAUGUCUUCUGCAUUUUUCUUAGGGAAAUUGGUCUUCUUCACCCAGUAUCUUCAGGAAAGAUUUCUGGCAACAUUUCAUGGCACUUGGACCUCUUCACCUUGGAGCAACAGCAGGGACUUUAGUCAACUUGUAAUGGAAACUGUUAUUCUUCACCCUAGAGGAGCAGCAGGGACUUCUGGCAACUUGUAAUGGCAACUGUUGUUCUUCACCCUGGAGCAGCAGCAGGGACUUCUGGGUACUUGUGGUCACAAGUGUUCCUCUUCACGCUGGAGCUACAGCAGGGACUUCUGGGUACUUGUGAUCACAAGUGUUCCUCUUUACGCUGGAGCUACAGCAGGGACUUCUGGUAACUUGUAAUGGCAACUGUUGCUCUUCACCCUGGAGCGUCAGCAGGAACUUCUGUUUACUUGUCGCCACAAGUGUUCUUCACCCUGGAGCAGCCGCAGGGACUUCUGGCAAAUUGUGAUGGGAACUGGUGUUCUUCACCCUAGAGCAGGAGGAGGGACUUCUGGUUACUUGUGGAGGCAAGUUCUUUUCUUCACACUGGACCUGCAGAUGUAAUGUUCAGUUAUUGGUGAUAGGAAGUGUUCAUCUUCAAGCGGGAGGUGCAGCUUGUACUUCUGCUUGGUUGUGAUGGCAAAGGCCUCUUUCCACCCCUAAGGUGCAGUUGGGACGUCUGCGUAGUUGUGAUGGCAAAGGCCUCACUCUAUCUUGUAGCGGUACAUGAGACCUCUGCUAGGGUGUGAUAGCAAAGACCUCUGUCCAACCCAGAGCUACAACUGAGACCUCUGAUUUGUUGCGAUAUCAAAGGCCUCUCUCCUCCCCUAAGUUGCAGCUGUGUCUUCUGCAUUUUUCUUAGCGAAAUUGGUCUUCUUCACCCACAAGCUUCAGGAAAGAUUUCUGGUAACAUUUCAUAGCACUUGGUCCUCUUCACCUUGGAGCAGCAGCAGGGACUUUAGGCAACUUGUAAUGGAAACUGUUGUUCUUCACCCUGGAGCAGCAGCAGGGACUUCUGGUAACUUUUGAUCACAAGUGUUCCUCUUCACCCUGGAGCUACAGCAGGGACUUCUGGUAACUUAGGAUCACAAGUGUUCCUCUUCACCCUAGAGCUACAGCAGGGACUUCUGGUUACUUGUGAUGACAAGUGUUCGUCUUCACCCUGGAGCUGCAGCAGGAAAUUCUGGUUAUUUGUGGUGACAAGUUUUUUUGUCACACUGGACAUGCAGCUGGGACGUCUAAUUAUUGCUGAUAGGAAGUGUUCUUCUUCAAACAGGAGCUGCAGCUUGGACUUCUGCUUAGUUGUGAUGGCAAAGGCCUCUCUCCAUCUGGGAGCUGCAGCUGAGACAGCUUCUUGGUUGUGAUGGCAAAGGUGUCUCUACAUCCUAGAACUACAGCUGAGACCUCUGCUUUCUUCUGAUGGCAAAGGCCUCUCUCCACCCCGGAGCUGUAGCUGAGACCUCUGCUUUGUUUUGAUAGAAAAGGCCUGUCUCCACCCCUAAUCUGAAGCUGCGUCCUCUGCAUUUUUCUUGGGGUAAUUGGUCAUCUUCACCCAGUAGCUACAGGAAAGAUUUCUGGUAACUUUUGAUGGCAAAUGUUCGUAUUCACCAUGGAGCUGCAGCAGGGACUUCUGGCAAAUUGUGAUGGCAAGUGUUGCUCUUCACCCUGGAGCUGCAACAGGGACUUCUGGUAACUUGUAAUGGCAAGUGUUGCUCUUCACCCUGGAGCAGCAACAGGGACUUCUGGCACCUUGUGAUGGCAACUGUUGUACUUCACCCUAGAGCAGCAGGAGGGACUUCUGGUUACUUUUGGAGGAAAGUCCUUUUCUUCACACUGGAGCUGCAGCUGUGAAGUCCACUUAUUGGUGAUAGGAAGUGUUCUUCUUCAAGCGGGAGCUGCAGCUUGGACCUCUGCUUGGUUGUAAUAGCAAAGGCCGCUCUCCACCACUAAGCUGCAGUUGUGACGCCUGCGUAGUUGUGGUUGGCAAAGGCCUCGUUCUAUCCUGGAGCGGUAAAUGAGACCUAUGCUAGGUUGUGAUAGCAAAGACCUCUGUCCAACCCAGAGCUGCAACUGAGACGUCUGAUUUGUUGUGAUAUCAAAGGCCUCUCUCCACCCCUAAGCUGCAGCUGUGUCUUCUGCAUUUUUCUUAGGGAAAUUGGUCUUCUUCACCCAGUAGCUUCAGGAAAGAUUUCUGGUAACAUUUCAUGGCACGUGGUCUCUUCACCUUGGAACAGCAGUAGGGACUUUAGUCAACUUGUAAUGGAAACUGUUAUUCUACACCCUAGAGCAGCAUCAGGGACUUCUGGUAACUUGUGAUGGCAAGUGUUGCUCUUCACGCUGGAGCUGCAGCAGGGACUUCUGGUAACUUGUGAUGGCAAGUGUUGCUCUUCACCCUGGAGCUGCAGCAGGGACUUCUGGUAACUUGUGAUGGCAAGUGUUGCUCUUCACCCUGGAGCUGCAGCAGGGACUUCUGGUAACUUGUGAUGGCAAGUGUUGCUCUUCACCCUGGAGCUGCAGCAGGGACUUCUGGUAACUUGUGAUGGCAAGUGUUCCUCUUCACCUUGGAGCAGCAGCAGGGACUUCAGGCAACUUGUAAUGGCAACUGUUGUUCUUCACCCUGGAGCAGCACCAGGGACUUCAGGUUACUUAUGGUCACAGAUGUUCCUCUUCAACCUGGAACUACAGCAGGGACUUCUGGUAACUUGUGAUGGCAAGUGUUCCUCUUCACCCUGGAGCUGCAGCAGGGACUUCAGGCAACUUGUAAUGGCAACUGUUGUUCUUCACCCUAGAGCAGCAGCAGGGACUUCUGGUAACUUGUGAUCACAAGUGUUGCUCUUCACCCUGGAGCUGCAGCAGGGACUUCUAGUAACUUGUAAUGGCAAGUAUUCCUCUUCACCCUGUAGCGUCAGCUGGGACUUCUGGCAACUUAUGAUGGCAAAUGUUGUUUUUCACCCUGGAGCAGCAGGAGGGACUUCUCAUUACUUGUGGAGGCAAGUUCUUUUCUUCACACUGGACCUGCAGCUGGGACAUCUACUUAUUGGUGAUAGGAAGUGUUCUUCUUCAAACGGGAGGUGCAGCUUGGACUUCUGCUUAGUUGUGAUGGCAAAGGCCUCUCUCCAUCUUGGAGCUGCAGCUGAGACAGCUUCUUGGUUGUGAUGGCAAAGGUGUCUCUACUUCCUAGAACUGCAGCUGAGACCUGUGCUUAGUUGUGAUGGCAAAGGCCUCUCUCCACCCCUAAGCUGCAGUUGAGACGUCUGCGUAGUUGUGAUGGCAAAGGCCUCGUUCUAUCCUGAAAUGGUAAAUGAGACCUCUGCUAGGUUGCGAUAGCAAAGACCUCUGUCCAACCCAGAGCUGCAACUGAGACCUCUGAUUUGUUAUGAUAUCAAAGCCUUCUCUCUCCACCCCUAAGCUACAGCUGUAUCUUCUGCAUUUUUCUUAGGGAAUUUGGUCUUCUUCACCCACUAGCUUCAGGAAAGAUUUCUAGUAACCUUUCAUGGCACGUGGUCCUCUUCACCUUGGAGCAGCAGCAGGGACUUCAGGCAACUUGUAAUGGAAACUGUUGUUCUUCACGCUGAAGCAGCAGGAGGGACUUCUGGUAACUUGUGAUCACAAGUGUUCCUCUUCACCCUGGACCUACAGCUGUGACUUCUGGUACCUUGUGAUGGCAAGUGUUCCUCUUCACCUGGGAGCAGCAGCAGGUACUUCAGGCAACUUGUAAUGGCAACUGUUGUUCUUCACCCUGGAGCAGCAGCAGGGAUUUCUGGGUACUUGUGGUCACAAGUCAUCCUCUUCGCCUUGGAGCAGCAGCAGGGACUUCUGGUAACUUGUGAUCACAAGUGUUCCUCUUCACCCUGGAGCUACAUCAGGGACUUCUGGUAACUUGUGAUGGCAAGUGUUCCUCCUCACCUUGGAGCAGCAGCAGGGACUUCAGGCAAUUUGUAAUGGUAACUGUUGUUCUUCACCCUGGAGCAGCAGCAGGGACUUCUGGUUACUUGUGAUGACAACUGUUGUUCUUCACCCUGGAGUAGCAGCAGGGACUUCUGCUUACAUGUUAUGUUAACUGUUGUUCUUCACCCUGGAGCAGUACCAGGGACUUCUGGUUACUUGUGGUGGCAAGAUCUUUUUGUCACACUGGACAUGCAACUGGGACGUAUAGUUAUGGGGAAUAUGAAGUGUUUUUCUUCAAACGGGAGGUGCAGCUUGGACUUCUGCUUAGUUGUGAUAGCAAAGGCCUACAUCCAUCCUUAAGCUGCAGCUGGGACAUCUAUGUAGUUGUGAUGGAAAACGCCUCUCUCCAUCUUGGAGCUGCAGCUGAGAUCUCUGCUUUGUUUUGAUAGAAAAGGCCUCUCUCCACCCUUAAUCUGCAGCUGCGUCCUCUGCAUUUUUCUUGGGGUAAUUGGUCUUCUUCACCCAGUAGCUACAGGAAAGAUUUCUGGUAACCUUUGAUGGCAAGUGUUGCUCUUCACCCUGGAGCUGCAGCAGGGACAUCUGGUAACUUGUGAUGGCAAGUAUCCCUCUUCAACCUAGAGCGUCAGCAGGGACUUCUGGUUACUUGUCGUCACAAGUGUUCCUCUUCACCCUGGAGCAGUAGCAGGGGCUUCUGGCAAAUUGUGAUGGCAACAGUUGUUCUUCACUCUGGAGCAGCAGGAGGGACUUCUCGAUACUUGUGGAGGCAAGUUCUUUUCUUUACACUGGACCUGCAGCUGUGAUGUCCAGUUAUUGGUGAUAGGAAGGGUUCUUCUUCAAACAGGGGCUGCAGCUUGGACCUCUGCUUUGUUGUGAUGGCAAAGGCCUCUCUCCACCCCUAAGCUGCAGCUGCGUCUUCUGCAUUUUUGUUAGGGAAUUUGGUCGUCUUCACCUAGUAGCUUCCGGUAAGAUUUCUAGUAACAUUUCAUGGCAGGUGGUCUUCUUCACCUUGGAGCAGCAGCAGGGACUUCAGGGAACUUGUAAUGGAAACUGUUGUUCUUCACCCUGGAGGUACAGCAGGGACUUCUGGGUACUUAUGGUCACAAGUGUUCGUCUUUACCCUGGACCUGCAGCAGGAACUUCUGGUAACAUGUGAUGACAAGUAUUCCUCUUCACCCUAGAGCGUCAGCAGGGAAUUCUGGUUACUUGUGGUCACAAGUGUUCCUCUUCACCCUGCAGCAGCAGCAGGGACUUCUGGGUACUUGUGGUCACAAGUGUUCCUCUUCACCCUGCAGCAGCAGCAGGGACUUCUGGGUACUUUUGCUCACAAGUGUUCCUCUUCACCCUGGAGCUACAGCAGGGACUUCUGAUUACUUGUGAUGACAAAUGUUCGUCUUCACCCUGGAGCUGCAGCAGGGACUUCUGGUAACUUUUGAUGGCAACAGUUGUUCUUCACCCUGGAGCAGCAGGAGGGACUUCUCGAUACUUGUGGAGGCAAGUUCUUUUCUUUACACUGGACCUGCAGCUGUGAUGUCCAGUUAUUGGUGAUAGGAAGGGUUCUUCUUCAAACAGGAGCUGCAGCUUGGACCUCUGCUUGGUUGUGAUGGCAAAGGCCUCUCUCCACCCCUAAGCUGCAGCUGCGUCUUCUGCAUUUUUCUUAGGGAAUUUGGUCAUAUUCACCUAGUAGCUUCCGGUAAGAUUUCUAGUAACAUUUCAUGGCAGGUGGUCUUCUUCACCUUGGAGCAGCAGCAGGGACUUCAGGGAACUUGUAAUGGAAACUGUUGUUCUUCACCCUGGAGCAGCAGCAGGGACUUCUGGGUACUUAUGGUCACAAGUGUUCGUCUUUACCCUGGACCUGCAGCAGGAACUUCUGGUAACAUGUGAUGACAAGUAUUCCUCUUCACCCUAGAGCAUCAGCAGGGAAUUCUGGUUACUUGUGGUCACAAGUGUUCCUCUUCACCCUGCAGCAGCAGCAGGGACUUCUGCGUACUUUUGCUCACAAGUGUUCCUCUUCACCCUGGAGCUACAGCAGGGACUUCUGAUUACUUGUGAUGACAAAUGUUCGUCUUCACCCUGGAGCUGCAGCAGGGACUUCUGGUAACUUUUGAUGGCAAGUGUUCCUCUUCACCUGGGAGCUGCAGGAGGGACUUUUGGUUACUUGUGAUCACAUGUGUUCCUCUUCACCCUGGAGCAACAGCAGGGACUUCUGGCAACUUGUGAUGGUAACUGUUGUUCUUAACCAUGGAGUAGCAACAGGGAUUUCUGGGUACUUGUGGUCACAAGUGUUCCUCUUCACCCUGAAGCAGCAGCAGGGACUUCAGGUUACAUGUUAUGUUAACUAUUGUUCUUCACCCUGGAGUAGCACCAGGGAUUUCUGGCAACUUGUGAUGGCAAAUAUUGUUUUUCACCCUGGAGCAGCAGGAGGGACUUUUGGUUACUUGUGGAGGCAAGUUCUUUUCUUCACACUGGACCUGCAGCUGGGACAUUUAGUUAUUGGUGAUAGGAAGUAUUCUUCAAAUGGGAGGUGCAGCUUGGACCUCUGCUUAGUUGUGAUGGCAAAGGCCUCGUUCUAUCCUGGAGCGGUAAAUGAGACCUCUGCUACGUUGUGAUAGCAAAGACCUCUGUCCAACCCAGAGGUGCAACUGCGACCUCUGAUUUGUUGUGCUAUCAAAGGCCUCUCUCGACCCGUAAGCUGCAGCUGUGUCUUCUGCAUUUUUCUUAGGGAAUUUAGUCUUCAUCACCUAGUAGAUUUAGAAAAGAUUUCAGGGCACAUGGUCCUCUUCACCUUGGAACAGCAGCAGGGACUUUAGUCAACUUGUAAUGGAAACUGUUAUUCUUCACCCUAGAGCAGCAGCAGGGACUUCUGGGUACUUGUGAUGACAAGUGUUCCUCAUCACCUUGGAGCUACCACCGGGACUUCUGCUAACUUCUGAUAGCAAGAGUUCCUCUUCACGUUGGAAAAGCUACAAGGACUUCAGGCAACUUGUAAUGGCAACUAUUGUUCGUCACCCUGGAGCAGCAGCAGGGACUUCUGGGUACUUGUGAUUACAGCUGUUCGACUUCACCCUGGAGCUGCAGCAGGGACUUCUGGUUACUUGUGAUGAUAAGUGUUCGUCUUCACCCUCGAGCAGCAGCAGGGACUUCUGGCAACUUGUGAUGGCAACUGUUGUUCUUCACCAUGGAGUAGCAGCAUGGACUUCUGGUUAUAUGUUAUGUUAACUGUUGUUCUUCACCCUGGAGCAGCACCAGGGAUUUCUGGUUACUUGUGUUGGGAAGUUCUUUUUGUCACACUGGACAUGCAGCUGGGACGUCUAGUUAUUGGUGAUAGGAAGUGUUCUUCUUCAAAGGGGUAACUGCAGCUUCGACCUUUACUUGGUUGGGAUGGCAAAGGCCUCUCUCCACCCCUAAGCUGCAGUUGGGACGUCUGCGUAGUUGUGAUGGCAAAGGCCUCGUUUUGUCCUGGAGCAGUAAAUGAGACCUCUGCUAGGUUGUGAUGGCAAAGACCUCAGUCCAACCAAGAGCUGCAACUGAGACCUUUGAUUUGUUGUGAUAUCAAAGGACUCUCUACACCUCUAAGCUCCAGCUGUGUCUUCUGCAUUUUUCUUAGGGAAUUUGGUCUUCUUCAUCCAGUAGCUUCAGGAAAGAUUUCUGGUAACAUUUCAUGGCACGUGGUCCUCUUCACCUUGGAGCAGCAGCAGGGACUUCAGGCAACUUGUAUUGGCAACUGUUGUUCUUCACCCUGGAGCAGCAGCAGGGACUUCUGGGUACUUGUGGUCACAAGUGUUCCUCUUCACCCUGGAGCUACAGCAGGGACUUCUGGUUACUUGUGAUGACAAUUGUUCGUCUUCACCCUGGAGCAGCAGCAGAGACUUUGGGAUACUUGUGGUCACAAGUGUUCUUCUUCACCCUGGAGCAGCAACAGGGACUUCUGGGUACUUCUGUUCACAAAUGUUCCUCUUCACCCUGGAACUAAUGCACGGACUUCUGGUUACUUGUGAUCAAAAGUGUUUGUCGUCACCCUGGACCAGCAGCAGGGACUUCUGGCAACAUGUGAUGGCAACUGUUGUUCUUCACCCUGGAGCAGCAGCAGGGAUUUCUCGUUACUUGUGAUGGCAAGUGUUCCUCUUCACCCUGGAGCUGCAGCAAGGACUUCUGGUUACUUGUGGUCACAAGUGUUCCUCUUCACCCUGGAGCGGCAGCAGGGACUUCAGGCAACAUGUGAUGGCAACAGUUGUUCUUUGCCCUCGAGCAGUAGCAGGAAUUAGGGGUAUUUAUGGUCGCAAUUAUUCCUCUUCACCCUGGAGCUUAAGAAGGGACUUCUGACAACAUGUGAUGGCAAGUGUUCCUCUUCACCGUGGAGCUGCAGCAGGGACUUCUGGCAAGUUGUGAUGGCAAGUGUUCCUCUUCACCCUGGAGCAGCAGGAGGGACUUCUGGCUACUUGUGUUGACUAGUGUUCCUCUUCACCCUGGAGUGGCAGCAGGGACUUCAGGGUAACUUGUGAUGGCAACAGUUGUUCUUUGCCCUUGAGCAGCAGCAGGGAUUCUGGGUACUUGUGGUCACAAGUAUUCCUCGUCACCCUGGAGAUGCAGCAGGGACUUCUGGUUCCUUGUGGUGGCAAGUUCUUUUCGUCAAACUGGACCUACAGGUGGGACGUCCAGUUAUUGGAGAUAGGAAGUGUUCUUCAAACAGGAGCUACAGCUUGGACCUCUGCUUAGUUGUGAUGGGAAUGGCCUCCUUCCACCCAUAAGCUGCAGCUGGCACAUCUAUGUAGUUGUGAUGGCAAAGGCCUCUCUCAACCCUAAGCUUCAGCUCUGUCCUAUGCAUUUUUCUUAGGGCAAUUGGUCUUCUUCACCCAGUAGUUACAGGAAAGAUUUCUGCUAACAUUUGAUGGCAAGUGGUCCUCUUCAACCUGGAGCAGCAGCAGGGAUUUCUGGUUACUUGUGAUGACAAGUGUUUCUCUUCACCCUGUAGCGGCUUCAGGGACUUCUGGUUACUUGGGGUCACAAGUGUUCCUCUUCACCCUGGAGCAGCAGCAGGGACUUCUGGUAAGUUGACCUGGCAAGUGUUCCUCUAUACGCUGGAGCUGCAGCAGGGACUUCGGGUAAGUUGUGCUGGCAAGUGUUCCUCUUCACCCUAGAGCAGCAGCAGGGACUUCUGGUAAAUUGACCUGGCAAUUGUUCCUCUAUACCCUGGAGCUGCAGCAGGGACUUCUGGUAAGUUGUGCUGGCAAGUGUUCCUUUUCAACCUAGGGCAGCAGCAGGGAUUUCUGGUUACUUGUGAUGACAAGUGUUUCUCUUCACCCUGUAGCGGCAGCAGGGACUUCUGGUUACUUGGGGUCACAAGUGUUCCUCUUCACCCUGGAGCAGCAGCAGGGACCUCUGGGUACUUGUGGUCACAACUUUUCCUCUUCACCCUGGAGCUACAGCAGGGCCUUCUGGUAACUUUUGAUGGCAAGUUGUUCCUCUUCACCUUGGAGCUGCAGGAGGGACUUUUGGUUACUUGUGAUCACAAGUGUUCCUCUUCACCCUGGAGGUACAGCAGGGACUUCUGAUUACUUGUGAUGGCAACUGUUGUUCUUCACCAUGGAGUAGCAGCAGGGAUUUCUGGGUACUUGUGGUCACAAGUGUUCCUCUUCACCCUGAAGCAGCAGCAGGGACUUCUGGCAACUUGUGAUGGCAAAUAUUGUUUUUCACCCUGGAGCAGCAGGAGGGACUUCUUGUUACUUGUGGAGGCAAGUUCUUUUCUUCACACUGGACCUGCAGCUGGGACAUUUAGUUAUUGGUGAUAGGAAGUGUUCUUCAAACAGGAGGUGCAGCUUGGACCUCUGCUUAGUUGUGAUGGCAAAGACCUCUCUCCACCCCUAAGCUGGAGUUGGGAAGUCUGCGUAGUUGUGAUGGCAAAGGCCUCGUUCUAUCCUGGAGCGGUAAAUGAGACCUCUGCUAGGUUGUGAUAGCAAAGACCUCUGUCCAACCCAGAGGUGCAACUGCGACCUCUGAUUUGUUGUGCUAUCAAAGGCCUCUCUCCACCCGUAAGCUGCAGAUGUGUCUUCUGCAUUUUUCUUAGGGAAUUUAAUCUUCAUCACCCAGUAGUUUCAGAAAAGAUUUCAGGGCACGUGGUCCUCUUCACCUUGGAGCAGCAGCCGGGACUUCUGGUAACUUGUGAUGGCAAGAGUUCCUCUUCACCUUGGAAAAGCUGCAGGGACUUCAGGCAACUUUUAAUGGCAACUAUUGUUCGUCACCCUGGAGCAGCAGCAGGGACUUCUGGGUACUUGUGAUGACAACUGUUCGUCUUCACCCUGGAGCUGCAGCAGGGAACUCUGGUUACUUGUGAUGACAAGUGUUUGUCUUCACCCUCGAGCAGCAGCAGGGACUUCGGCAAGUUGUGAUGGCAACUGUUGUUCUUCACCCUGGAGCAGCACCAGGGAUUUCUGGUUACUUGUGUUGGCAAGUUCUUUUUCUCACACUGGACAUGCAGCUGGGACGUCUAGUUAUUGGUGAUAGGAAGUGUUCUUCUUCAAAGGGGAGCUGCAGCUUGGACCUUUACUUGGUUGGGAUGGCAAAGGCCUCUCUCCACCCCUAAGCUGCAGUUGGGACGUCUGCGUAGUUGUGAUGGCAAAGGCCUCGUUCUAUCCUGGAGCAGUAAAUGAGACCUCUGCUAGGUUGUGAUAGCAAAGACCUCAGUCCAACCCAGAGCUGCAACUGAGACCUUUGAUUUGUUGUGAUAUCAAAGGCCUCUCUCCACCCCUAAGCUGCAGCUGUGUCUUCUGCAUUUUUCUUAGGGAAUUUGGUCUUCUUCACCCAGUAGCUUCAGGAAAGAUUUCUGGUAACAUUUCAUGGCACGUGGUCCUCUUCCCCCUGGAGCCGCAGCAGGGACUUCUGGUUACUUGUGAUGACAAUUGUUCGUCUUCACCCUGGAGCAGCAGCAGGGACUUCUGGGUACUUCUGUUCACAAGUGUUCCUCUUCACCCUGGAACUACAGCAGGGACUUCUGGUUACUUGUGAUCAAAAGUGUUCGUCGUCAACCUGGACCAACAGCAGGGACUUCUGGCAACAUGUGAUGGCAACUGUUGUUCUUCACCCUGGAGCAGCAGCAGGGAUUUCUCGUUACUUGUGAUGGCAAGUGUUCCUCUUCACCCUGGAGCUGCAGCAGGGACUUUUGGUUACUUGUGGUCAGAAAUGUUCUUCUUCACCCUAGAGCUGCAGCAGGGACUUUUGGUUACUUGUGGUCAGAAGUGUUCCUCUUCACCCUGGAGCGGCAGCAGGGACUUCAGGCAACAUCUGAUGGCAACAGUUGUUCUUCGCCCUCGAGCAGCAGCAGGAAUUAGGGGUACUUAUGUUCGCAAUUAUUCCUCUUCACCCUGGAGCUUAAGAAGGGACUUCUGACAACAUGUGAUGGCAAGUGUUCCUCUUCACCCUGGAGCUGCAACAGGGACUUAUAAUAACUUGUGAUGGGAAGUGUUCCUCUUCACCCUGGAGAUGCAGAAGGGACUUCUGGCAAGUUGUGAUGGCAAGUGUUCCUCUUCACCCUGGAGCGGCAGUAGGGACUUCUGUUAAGUUGUGCUGGCAAGUGUUCCUCUUCAACCUGGAGCAGCAGCAGGGAUUGCUGGUUACUUGUGAUGAAAAGUGUUUCUCUUCACCCUGGAGCAGCAGCAGGGAUUUCUGGCUACUUGUGUUGACUAGUGUUCCUCUUCACCCUGGAGCGGCAGCAGGGACUUCAGGGUAACUUGUGAUGGCAACAGUUGUUCUUCACCCUUGAGCAGCAGCAGGGAUUCUGGGUACUUGUGGUGGCAAAUUCUUUUCGUCACACUGGACCUACAGGUGGGACGUCCAGUUAUUGGAGAUAGGAAGUGUUCCUCAAACGGGAGCUACAGCUUGGACCUCCGCUUAGUUGUGAUGGGAAUGGCCUACUUCCACCCAUAAGCUGCAGCUGGCACUUCUAUGUAGUUGUGAUGGCAAAGGCCUCUCUCAACCCUAAGCUGCAGCUGUGUCCUAUGCAUUUUUUUUAGGGCAAUUGGUCUUCUUCACCCAGUAGUUACAGGAACGAUUUCUGCUAACAUUCCAUGGCAAGUGGUCCUCUUCACCCUGGAGCUCCAGCAGGGACUUCUGCUUACUUGUGAUGACAAGUUUUUCUCUUCACCCAGCAGCGGCAGUAGGGACUUCUGGUUACUUGGGGUCACAAGUGUUCCUCUUCACCCUGGAGCAGCAGCAGGGACUUCUGGUAAGUUGUGCUGGCAAGUAUUCCUCUUCACCCUGGAGCAGCAGCAGGGACUUCUGGUAAGUUGUGUUGGCAAGUGUUCCUUUUCAGCCUAGGGCAGCAGCAGGGAUUUCUGGUUACUUGUGAUGACAAGUGUUUCUCUUCACCCUGUAGCGGCAGCAGGGACUUCUGGUUACUUGGGGUCAUAAGUGUUCCUUGUCACCCCAGAGCAGCAGCAGGCACUUCUGGGUACUUGUGGUCACACGUGGUCUUCUUCACCCUGGAGCUACAGCAAGGAGCUACAACUUUCUGGUAAGUUGUGCUGGCAAGUGUUCCUCUUCACCCUGGAGCUGUAGCAGGGACUUCUGGUAAGUUGUGCUGGCAACUGUUCCUCUUCACCCUGGAGCUGUAGUAGGGACUUCUGGUUACUAGUGGUGGCAAGUUCUUUUUGUCACAAUGGACCUGCAGCUGGGACAUCAAGUUAUUGGUGAUAGGAAGUGUUCUUCUUCAAACGGUUGCUGCAGCUUGGACCUCUGUUUAGUUGUGAUGGCCAAGGGGUCUCUCCACUUCUAAGCUACACUUGGGCCAUCUGCGUAGUUCUGAUGGCAAAGGGCUCAUUCUCUCCUGGAGCGAUAAAUGAGACCUCUACUUUGUUUUGAUAGCAAAGACCUCUCUCCACCCCUAAGCUGCAGCUGCGUCCUCUGCAUUUUUCUUAGGGAAAUUGGUCUUCUUCACCCAGUAGCUACAGGAAAGAUUUCUGGUAACUUUUGAUGGCAAGUGGUCCUGUUCACCCUGUAGCUGCAGCAGGGACUUCUGGUAACUUGUGAUGGCAAGUGGUCCUCUUCACCCUGGAGCUGCUGCAGGGACUUCUGGUAACUUGUGAUGGCAAGUGUUCCUCUUCACCCUGGAGCUGUAGCAGGGACUUCUGGUAACUUGUGAUGGCAAGUGUUCAUCUUCACCCUGGAGCAGCAGCAGGGACUUCUUAUAACUUGUGAUGGCAACUGUUGUUCUUCACCCUGGAGCAGCAUCAAGGACUUCUGUUAACUUGUGAUGGCAAGUGUUACUCUUCACCCUGGAGCAGCAUCAAGGACUUCUGUUAACUUGUGAUGGCAAGUGUUACUCUUCACCCUGGAGCUGCAGCAGGGACUUCUGUUAACUUGUGAUGGCAAGUCUUCCUCUUCACUGUGGAGCAGCAGCAGGGACUUCUGGUUACUUGUGGUGGAAAGUUCUUUUCGUCACACUGGACCUGCAACUGUGACUUACAGUUGUUGGUGAUAGGAAGUGUUAUUCUUCAAAUGGGCGCUGCAGCUUAGACCUCUGCUUAGUUGUGAUGGCAAAGGCCUCCCUCCACCCAUAAGCUGCAGCUGGGACAUCUGUGUAGUUGUGAUUGCAAAGGCCUCUCUCCAUCGUGGAGCUGCAGCUGAGACAGUUUCUUUGUUGUGAUGGCAAAGGCCUCUCUACACCCUAAGCUGCAGCUGCAUCCUCUGCAUUUUUCUUAGGGCAACUGGUCUUCUUCUCCCAGUAGCUGCAGGACAGAUUUCUGGUAACUUUUGAUGGCAAGUGGUCCUCUUCACCCGGGAGCUGCAGCAGGGACUUCUGGUAACUUGUGAUGGCAAAUGUUCAUCUUCACUCUGGAUAAGCAGCAGGGACUUCUUGUAACUUGUGAUGGCAAGUGUUCCUCUUCACCCUGGAACUGCAGAAGGGACUUCUGGUAAGUUGUGCUGGCAAGUAUUCCUCUUCACCCUGGAGCAGCAGCAGGGACUUCUGGUAAGUUAUGCUGGCAAGUGUUCCUCUUCACCCUGGAGCAGCAGCAGGGACUUCUGGUAAGUUGACCUGGCAAGUGUUCCUCUAUACCCUGGAGCUGCAGCAGGGACUUCUGGUAAGUUGUGCUGGCAAGUGUUCCCUUUCACCCUGGAGCAGCAGCAGGGACUUCUGGUUACUUGGCGUCAUAAGUGUUCCUCGUCACCCUAGAACAGCAGCAGGGACUUCUGGGUACUUGUGGUCACACGUGGUCUUCUUCACCCUGGAGCUACAGCAAGGAUUUCUGGUAAGUUGUGCUGACAAGUGUUCCUCUUCACCCUGGAGCAGCAGCAGGGACUUCUGGUUACUUGUGGUGGCAAGUUCUUUUCAUCACACUGGACCUGCCGCUGGGACUUCCAGUUAUUGGUGAUACGAAGUGUUCUUCUUCAAACGGGAGUUGCAGCUUGCACAUCUGCUUAGUUGUGAUGGUAAAGGCCUCUCUCCAUCCCUAAGCUGCAGCUGAGUCCUCUGCAUUUUUCUUAGGGCAAUUGGUCUUCUUCACCCAGUAGCUGCAGGAAAGAUUUCUGGUAACUUUUGAUGGCAAGUGAUCCUCUUCACCCUGCAGCUGCUGCCGGGACUUCUGGUAACUUGUGAUGGCAAGUGUUCAUCUUCACUCUGGAUAAGCAGCAGGGACUUCUUGUAACUUGUGAUGGCAACUGUUGUUCUUCACCCUGGAGCAGCAUCAAGGACUUCUGGUAACUUGUGAUGGCAAGUGUUCCUCUUCACCCUGGAACUGCAGGAGGGACUUCUGGUAACUUUUGAUGGCAAGUGGUCCUGUUCACCCUGUAGCUGCAGCAGGGACUUCUGGUAACUUGUGAUGGCAAGUGGUCCUCUUCACCAAGGAGCUGCAGCAGGGACUUCUGGUAACUUUUGAUGGCAAGUGGUCCUGUUCACCCUGGAGCCGCAGCAGGGACUUCUGUUAACUUGUGUUGGCAAGUGUUCGUCUUCACCCUUGGACAACAGCAGUGACUUCUGGUUACUUGUGAUGACAAGUGUUCCUCUUCACCCUGGAGCAGCAGCAGGGACUUCUGGUUACUUGUGUUAGCAAGUUCUUUUCAUCACACUGGACCUUGCCCUGGGACUUCCAGUUAUUGGUGAUAGGAAGUGUUCCUCUUCAAACGGGAGUUGCAGCUUGCACAUCUGCUUAGUUGUGAUGGCAAAGGCCUCUCUGCAUCCCUAAGCUGCAGCUGCGUCCUCUGCAUUUUUCUUAGGGCAAUUGGUCUUCUUCAACCAGUAGCUGCAGGAAAGAUUUCUGCUAACUUGUGAUGGCAAGUGUUCCUCUUCAUUGUGGAGCAGAAGCAGGGACUUCUGGUAACUUGUGAUGGCAAGUGUUCAUCUUCACCCUAGAGCAGCAGCAGGGACUUCUUGUAACUUGUGAUGGCAACUGCUGUUCUUCACCCUGGAGCAGCAUCAAGGACUUCUGGUAACUUGUGAUGGCAAGUGUUGCUCUUCACCCUGGAGCUGCAGCAGGGACUUCUGGUUACUUGUGGUGGCCAGUUUUCCGCUUCACUGUGGAGCAGCAGCAGGGACUUUUGGUAACUUGUGAUGGCAAUUUCUUUUCGUCACACUGGACCUGCAGCUGGGAUUUCCCGUUAUUUGUUAUGGCAAGUUUUCUUCUUCCAACGGGAGCUGCAGCUUAGAACUCUGCUAGGUUGUGAUGGCAAAGGCCUCUCUCCAUCCUGGAUCUGCAGCUGGUACCUCUGCUUGGUUGUGAUGGCAAAGGCCUCUCUGUAUCCUGGAGCUGUAACUGAGACCUCUACAUGGGUUUGAUGGCAAAGGCCUCUCUCUACCCUGGAGCUUCAGCUGCGUUCUUUCCAUUUUUGUGAUGGCAAUUGGUCUUCACCCAGUAGCUGCAGCUGGGCCUUCUGGUUACUUGUGAUGGCAAGUCUUCCUCUUCUCCCUGGAGCUGCAGCAGGUACUUCUAGUAACUUGUAAUGGCAAUUGUUCUUCUUCACCCUGGAGUAGCAGCAGGGACUUCUGGUUUCUUGUGAUGAUGGGAAGUGUUCUUCAAAUGCAAACUGCAGCUGGGACCUCUGCUUGGUUGUGAUGACAAAGGCCUCUCUCCACCCCAGAGCUGCAGCUGGGACCUCUGCUUCAUUUUGAUGGCAAGUUCUCCUCUUCCCCCUGGAGCAGCAGCAGGGACUUCUGGCUACUUGUGAUGGCAAGUUCUUUUCUUCACCCUGGACCCGCAGCUGGGAAUUCUGGUGACUUGUGAUGCAAAGUGUUUUUCUUCUAACUGGAGCUGCAACUGGGACCUCUGGUUUGUUGUGAUGCCAAAGCCCUCUCUCCGUCCCAUGGCUGCAGCUGGGACCACUACUUGCUUGUGAUGGCAAGUGCUCCUCUUCACCCUGGAGCUUGUUACAGGGAAUUCUAGUUACUUGUGAUGGCAAGUGCUCCUCUUCACCCUGGAGCAGCAUCAGGGACUUCUGGUAACUUGUGGUGGCAACUGUUGUUCUUCACCCUGGAGCAGCAGCAGGGACUUCUGAUUAAUUGUGAUGACAAGUGCUCUUCCUCACCCUGGACCCACAGCUGGGACUUCUGGUUACUUGUGAUGGGAAAGUGGUCUUCUUCAAACUGGAACUGCAGCCGAUACCUCUGCUUUGUUGUAAUGGGAAAGGCCUCUAUGCACCCCUGAGAUGCAGCUGGGACUAUUGCUUUUUUUGUUAUAGCAAGGUCUCUUCACCUAGUAGCUGCAGGGGGGACUUCCUCUUCCUUGUCAUCAUGCUGGCAGGUGCUCCUCUUCACCCUGGAGCAGUAGCAGGGAAUGUGUUUACUUGUGAUAACAAGUGAUCGUCUUCACUCUGGAGCUCCAGGUGUUACCACCAGUUUUUUGUGAUGGCAUUGGCCUCUCUCCCCCUUUGUGUGAAACUGGUAAUGUCUACCGUGCCCACACAGAGCUGCCCCUAAUCACCUUUUUAGCAGUUGUCUAAUACUUGGUUUCUUGGCAGUGAAAACUUUAAGAAAUGUGACAACUAUUCCUGCAGCUAUCACUGUGCCUCCCGUCCUCCAAGAUCCAUAGUAAGUGCCCUUCCCUUUGCCUUCUGAGCCAGUGACCCAAACUUCUCCUCACCUCAAACAUUUUUUUCAGCUGGACAAACUUUUUCUUUGUAUGGCACUUCAGAAUUUGAUUAUUUGAUAUUUUCAAGUUUUUUGGAAAGGCAAGUUGGUAGAGUUCCACUGGAAUGUUCUCUCUGUUCCACCAUCUUGGGGUUUUUUAGGGGGUGCAAGAACUUCCACUCCUGAAACAAAUUAAAACAGUUCCCCAAAAGAGGAGCACUAGGGAAGAUUAGGAGGAAGCAGUGAUCUACUUCCACAAAUUCACCUGAGUAUUCUUUAUCAAUUACACUUGAAGAAUAUGUCUGAGCUGGCCAGCCAUGAUCAUAAUUUAGUAGUGUUUCUUUCAAGAAAUUGUUAAUAUGAUUGAACACUGGAUGCAAUAGCUAGGAAUGCUGGGUUCUAUUCUUGAGUCUUGCUCUUAGCUUUCUGUCAAAGUUUUCCGAGAUGUAAAGGCUUCACUUUAGGGAAAAUGGAAACCCAGAACAACUGGAUUGAAUCUCUGGGGAGUUCAUAGACUGGAAAACGAAAGAGAACUUGCCCAAAUCCAUGAGGCAUUCUCAAGUAAUUUAGAAUUCUAAUGGCACUGGCAGUGUUGAGCAGCAGCAGCAAUGUCCCUUUGUGACCAUGGGCCAUGCUUUCUCUGUAGAUUUGACU